RNAcentral lists this long non-coding RNA (12415 nucleotides) under Lynx pardinus (Iberian lynx). Lineage: Eukaryota; Metazoa; Chordata; Mammalia; Carnivora; Felidae. The record is from RNAcentral.
CCUCGCUCUGUUCCCUCUGCGGAUCUGAACACAGAGCACGUUGUUCUCCAAUCCUUCACAGGACGCGGGGGCCUGGCUCUGGUUCCCAGUGCUCAGCGAGCCAAGCAGAUGGCCGCGAAAUCCAGAGGUGGCCCGGUUAUCAUGACGCCUGGGUCCCCCCCAUGAGGACCCAUGAGGCUCUGAGGUCCUUUCCAGACCUCAGAGCGCCUCGCUGUGCUCCAGGUGGUUCUGGAGACUUCCUGCAGAGCGCCGGCAUGUACAGAGAGAUGGGACAUCCUGAGCCCAGUUCAGAGUUGGUGAAACUGAGGUCUGGACGGGGACUACAAGACCCUUGAGCUGGAGAACACGUCGAUCCAAUUUUCCGAUGUUUGUGAGUACUUGCGGGCGUGGGGCUGGGUGCUGGAGAUAGUGUCUGGAGAGUGUGAUCUGCUUUUAGGUAUCUUUUAUCUGAGUCCAGGGGUGGAGACAAAUGUGUAAACUCUCCCAAGUAAAAGCAAACUGGGAACCGGGAGAAAGGCUGAGAAACGGAGGAAAUGGGAGCCCCGAGAGCUGAUGUAAGAAGAAUGCUUGAUCUCCUCCGGGGAGGCCUUUGUGCAAGGCUUCCCGGUGCGUCCUCCGAUUAAGGCUCCUGAUAAGCAGGCUGAAAUCUGAUCAUGGGGAGGAGGCAGAGAACUUUCCAGACGGAGGGAGCACCACGUGCAAAAGCUGGUAUGAUGGACCAAGCAAGGUAUGCGGCCACAGUCAGAGAGAAAAGGUCACUGUGGCCACAGAACCCAAGCGGGAGGCGGGGCCGGCUAGCCACGCCCCCGCUCCAGGGACUCUAGCCACGCCCCCUGCACCAGGGCUGAGGCAGGACCCAGGGAGCGUGUGUUUUGAAAACACUGCACUCUUUGCUGAGUGUGCAGUGCGUGGAGGGAGCUGGAGGGCAGAAGAGAGAUAUGUUGAGGGCUACUAUAGGCAUCCAGGCAAGAGGCGACAGUACAGGCGGGCCCGGCACAGAGAAGCAGCGAGGAUUGGGGAGGAGAAGUGGGAUUUACGUAGGAAAUCUCCGGACCCUUGCUGGUGAUGGGGGANNNNNNNNNNNNNCCCCCCCCCCGCUCCAGGGACUCUAGCCACGCCCCCUGCACCAGGGCUGAGGCAGGACCCAGGGAGCGUGUGUUUUGAAAACACUGCACUCUUUGCUGAGUGUGCAGUGCGUGGAGGGAGCUGGAGGGCAGAAGAGAGAUAUGUUGAGGGCUACUAUAGGCAUCCAGGCAAGAGGCGACAGUACAGGCGGGCCCGGCACAGAGAAGCAGCGAGGAUUGGGGAGGAGAAGUGGGAUUUACGUAGGAAAUCUCCGGACCCUUGCUGGUGAUGGGGGAGAGGGGGCUAGGGAGAGAAGGGGUGCAGGGAAGCCAGACUACCGUGAUGGGACCUUGGGAGAGGAGGCAUGGGGAGGAGGGGAGAGGAAGAAUCUGCAAUCACAAAAUGCUUCUGGAGGCGGGUUAGUCAGUGCCCUGUUCAUUUGCAGAUGGGGAAACUGGGGUACUUAAAAGCAAUGUGCCUCUUCUAAUGCAGUGAGGUUGCUGGGAGCAGAAUUCAGGUCCCAUAUGAUGGAUGAUUAGACAUCAGCUAUAAUCCAACCAGGCGGAAAACCUCAUUCAUUCGUUCCUUCGUUCAUUCAUUCAUUCAUCCAUGCUUUCGUUCAUUCUUUCAUUUGUCCAUUCAUUGUCCCAUUUUUUCAUUCAAUAAACAUUUUGUAUUCCAUUUCCAUAGAGAUGGAAUAUAGAGAUGAACGCGUCCCUGUUCCGGCUCUCAAGGAUUUCUUGGUGGGGAAGACAGACACACAGACUUGCCAUCAUAACCAGGAUGGGUGAGGAUCCAAGGGGGAUCCACUCCUCCCCAGGGCAAGCACAGAGAGAGGAGUAUUCAUCCUGCCUUGGGGGUGCAUCUCCAGAAGCUUCAAGAAGGAGGUGGUGUUUUGAGCUGACUUUCUCAGUCUGUGCUUGCUGGGGGUCCAGGGCAGGGAAGCAAAGUCAGGCAUCAGGUGUGGCAGGUGCGAGGCUCAGGGCCAGGAAAGUGCACAGGGCACAUUCAGAAGUGGAAGAAGCAGCAGUUUCAAUGGAGGGUAGAGGCAGCAAGCAGGGCUGGCCAAGGACCAGGGUCAGAUAGGUGUGCUCCAGAGGUGGAGUGUGGUUCUCAGGUAAACCUCCCUCAAAGCCAAGACCAGCCCUGCAGCUGGAGGCUUUGCUCGUUGUUAACUGGAAGCCUCCUUCUGCACAGUAAAACAUUAACAUCCUCCGGGAUACAAAAACAAUGGGGCCCUCAUUUGCUUUUCCCGUGGGCUGCGACACUACCUCAUUUAACUGAGAGGCAGCUGAGGGUUCUGGGUGACCAGGGCACUCGGGAACACCCUGGGUCUGGGUACAGACUCCAACUCCAUGCAACCCUGGAUAAGUCACCUUACUCUCUCGGUGUCCUCACCGGUAAUGUGGGGGUAAGUCCAGGAUUGGGGAGACGAACACGUGCACAGUGUUUAGAAACGUCUCAUUGAAUGUUAGGUAUGUGUAUUGACUUCACAAUAAUCCGGGAAGAAACAUGCCUCUACCAUCAUCUCUAAAGAUGGGAAAGUUGGGGGCUUGAAAAGAAUAUAACUUGACCAGAGUUUCACAAACAGAGGUAGGUAGAGCUGGGAAAUGAACCCAGGUCCCAGGUUCUUAAGUAUUCUGCUAUUCUGAAUCUGAUCUAAAUCUUUUUUUUUAAUUUUUUUAACGUUUAUUUGUUUUUGAGACAGAGACAGAGCCUGAACGGGGGAGGCGCAAAGAGAGAGAGGGAGACACAGAAUCUGAAGCAGGGUCCAGGCUCCGAGCUGUCAGCACAGAGCCCAACAUGGGGCUUGAACCCACGGGCCGUGAGAUCAUGACCUGAGCUAAAGUUGGACGCUUCACCGACUGAGCCACCCAGGCACCCCUAAAUCUUUUUUUAAUGUUUAUUUAUAUUACAGACAGACCGAGACAGAGACAGAAGUGGGAGAGGGGCAGAGAGAGCGGGAGACAUGGAAUCCGAAGCAGGCUCCAGGGUCCGAGCUGUCAGCGCAGAGCCCGAUGUGGAGCUCAAACUCACCAGCACUGAGAUCAUGACCUGAGCUGAAGUCCGAUGUUUAACCGACUGAGCCACCCAGGUGCCCCCUGAUCUAAAUCUUAAGGUCAAGGCUACAAUCAGGGGAUUCUAGAUCAGGGAAUCCAGUUUCAAGCUGGAAAAGGAUGUAGUUGGCCCCCCAUCAAAGCAGGGUGGGCAUUGUCAUCAGGCACAUCCAGGGACAAGGGGCUUGGCAUCUGGGCCACACAAUUGCUUUUCCAGAACUGGGCAUGGCCGUGGUGGGGAUAGGCAGCUGUAGGUUCAGAUCCUAGCUCUGGCCACUUCCUGGCUGAAUGACCUUGGACGAGGCACUAACAUCUCUGAGCCUCAGUUUACCCAUCUGUGAAGUGAGGCAGCUGGCCAGCGCCGAUGUGACCUCUAAAGUAACAAAAGCCUGCGCGGCUAGUUCAGAAAAGGGCAUCGUCACGUCUCCCUGAGAUCGGCUUCGCUGCGCCCUGCGGCCACCUAACCUCUCUGAGACACCGGGUUACUUGCCUGAUAAGCGGAGUUAAAGUAAGCAGUGCCCUGCCUCCCUCUCAGAGUUAGUGUCUGUGCACACGACAUGGCUUGUCCUUCCCCGCUGAUGCCUUUGGGCCAGGCCGCAUCUCGGGAUCCUCGUCUGCAACACGGGCACACCAAUGCCAGGUUUGCAGAAUUUGACUGAAUUGGAGGCAACAUACGCUGAGCGUCGGGCACACAGUAGGCCUGCAGUUAAUAGGAAAUACCGCUCGUAACACCAACAAGAGCUGAUAUUCGAGGGCGUCUUUUUUUGGGCCGGGCGCUGUGCCGGCGUUAUGCGUCCUGAGCUCGUAGCAUAACUCGGGUGAAAUGUGCAAAGGUGCUUUAUAAAGGGUGAAGUCCCGCGUGCACACACAGGACCCGCGCGGAGUCAUUGAGUGUCUCCGGGACCUCUUUAGGAGCAGGGACCCUGUACGUGGAGACUUCACCGUCACCACCGCACAUGGUGGGCGGCCCGGCUCCCCACCCGAAAAGUACUCAUUUGUUAGGAUUCGAGACCCGCGCGCUGUAGCAAAGUCCUCGGCUUCUUUUCAAGUUCCAAGAGCACGUAAUGACGGCCUUUUCCUCCAUUCAUAAACCACAUAUGGAAUUAAUAGCCACUGGAAUCAAACCAGACCAGGCUGGGUUUAUUCGCCAGAAACAAUGAGACGUUAAGAAACCAAGGCCGGGAGAGGCAGGGAAGGGCUUUAACAAGCUUCUAGGUGGGAUUUUUUUUUUAUCCCCCCUCCCUGUUUACUUUAUUGAAUCUGGUCCUCGCUGAUUUGGUUACAGCCUGUGAUUUCAGCUUAUGAUUCAAUAAGCCAUUUGAAAGCUUGUAAAUAGCACCGUUCUGCUAUCUGCUCCCUCCUCCCCAAGGGGGUUGCCACUGAGCAAAGGGGGAGCUUGCUCCCCCUCGCAGCUGGUUGGGCGGCCCUUGGAGGGAGGUUCUGAAGCGGGGGAUGCUGAACCGAGUGGAUCCGGGGAGGGGUCUUGACCGUCGGAAAAGGUGGACUCAGCCUCAAGCAUUGACUGGAAAACAGGGAGCAGCCAAUAACAUGAGGACUUCCUCCACUCCUGACAUGACCUUGUCUGGGCAUUCCUGACCCUCCUUAUCACAACCUGGGUUGGGGACCCCACCGGUACAAGCCUGGCCGGCCCCUCGGGAGCCCGUAAGGGCCAUCACAGAGACUCGGACUCACAGAUUCUGUGAGUUCUCACAGCCAAAUAUCCCAGAGCUCCCUCGACACUCCCCUGUGUCCCUCCGGCACCUCCUCCGCCUGCCUCAACCCCCUGCUCACUGGCUAGCCUGCCAGGAGGAGGAGGAGAGACACAUGGAACAGGACCCCACCCCCAGCAAGCCCGGUCUGGAGCAGAGCCCCGUGCAGACCAGCGGAUGCACACAUGGACUCCGACAAGAUGAGCCCCAGACACAUAACUGCUCAGUAAGAUAUCGUUGAUGUGACGCACUGAUUUGGGGGUGGUUUGUUCCGCAGCUGUAACUAACCAAUACAUCAUCCGCUAGGGGCUUUUCAGCUGUGUUAACCAAAUGACCAAAUGGACAGGUGAAUGGCGCACUUCACUAAAUCCUCGGGUCCGUGAGCUGGAGAGGUCUUAGCAGUGGGAUUCUGUGCUUUGGGGGUCUCUGGGGCUUAAAUUCCUGGAGCAGAAGUUAGGCAUGAGUCUCUCCAGGGAAGCAGCAUGGUCGGUGCAGAAAGUCCAUGCUGAUCUUUGCCCCAUCCCGGGGCUGGCACCAGGCAGCUGAGUGCGAGGGAAAGUAGGAGCUGAGGUGUAAGCAAUUGAACCAGGACACCUCCUCAUGACUCCCAUGCCCACAAGGAAAAGCCCAAAUGCCGUGGAGGGACCUCCAGGCUCCAGCUUUCUAUAUCUUGUGGCUUCUUCUACUGCUUAUACAGCACCAUAGUCCCUAAGGUGGGGCGCACAAGUCUGCCAAAUGGUCUCCAAACACACCAAGCUUUUUCAUGGAUCCCUGCCUUUGCUCCUACCAUCUGCCUUGCCCGAUAUGCCCUUCCUCCUUUUGGCUACCUCAUCAACUCCUACUUGUACUGCAAAACCCAGCCAAUAUAGCCCUCUUGUGAAGUUAUCCCCAAACUUAGCUUACUCUUCCGAUGAUACUGAAGUAAUUCAACAGCAUGUCAGAUCACACCCCAUUCUCCCAAUUAUACUGUGAACUCUUCCCAAACAUGUUCAAUAUAAUUGAAGACAGAUGAAUGAAUGAAUGAAUGAAUGAAUGAGUUAUCAGUGUGGGUACCUUUCCAAUAAACAGGAUGGCUCUGCAAAAUACCAUGGGUUCAGAUGCAGAUAAUUGUUAUUCCAUGACACUAGGCUGGUUUCAUUGUUUCUCAGGUCUCAGUUUCCCCGUCUGUAAAGUGGGACCACAGAGUGAUGAUGUAAUGGCAUUCCACGCCCAGGGGAAGGACUCCCUCUCUUCCCUUUUUCAGAGAACUCGAAGCCCUCCUCUUCUGGGGGUCCCUGCCUCCUGGGCCUCCUUUCUGGGACCUCUCCCAGAGGCGAGAGGUCCCAGGAGGAUGGGAAUCAGAGGGAGGCCGGAGUUCAAGAUUCUCUGAAGGCAGCUUUCCCUGUAUGAGAAGAUCUCUGUGAGCAGUGUGAUAGCAUCAUCAUACUCUAAUGAGGACCUUCCAUUCAUUAUCUCACAGCAGUCCGAUUAUCCCCAUUUUACAGAUGAGGACACUGAGGUUCAGGGAGGUGACAGGACCUGGCAAGAUUGCUUUCUUGGGUGCUCCCUCUCUCUCCUCCGUGUUCUAAGGAUCUUUUAUCUUCGACCUUGUGUCUCUGUGCAGCUAGUCUUGGGGAAACCAUUUUUUUUAUUUGGAACUGAUCUCAACGAACCCACGGUUUGGGUUUCCCGGGUUCCUGACUGCUCCCAGAGACCAAGGGGGAGAGGGUGGGAAGAAGGACCCAAAAGGCUUGCAGUGGACUUAGUGAGGCAUUUCUGUAUGUAUCAGCACACCGUGAUGGGUUGUCCCCACUUCCCAAAUUCCCACACUUGACGGACAUUUCUUCAGUGCCUAGUGUUCUCCAGGCUCUGUGCGGGGAGGAGGAGCUGCUGAAAUGAAUGUCACUGUCGUGCCCCCAAGAGCUUCCCAGUCUGAUGGCUGAGGCAGCCACGAAGGCAAGCUUCUAGAGGCCGUUUAUCUAAAGACAGUAGCCAAUGACACUUGGGAGUGGGAAGCCAUUAGGGCAUCAUCCUGAUGCCAACACCAGUCAAUUGCUCAUGGCUGCCUGGGGCUCCAGGGCUUGAGAAGAAAGGUGCUGUGAUUGAUUAGCAAUGUCUGCCAGGUGCAUGGCUAGGAGAGUUCUGGCCUGUGUGCCCGUGAUGUGCCCGUAAUCUUCCACCCCUGCUUGAGAGAAUGCGACCCUUCCCAUUGGUGCAGCAGCCAACCUAGUCAGUAGGCUUGGAGACAGCCAUGAGCACUGGAGGUUUCUCCAAUCCCGAUCCGAGUGUAGGCCAUAGAGUCUUGGAAGGAGGAGGAAUUCUGCCCCUGGGAGAAUCUAGAAGGCUCUUCAGAGGUACUGACAAGUGAGCCAAGUGCGAAGGGUAAGAUUUUAACACGUAUAAGUGGAUCCCACUGGUGUUUUUUGAGCACCUGCUGUGUUCCGUGUAUUUUCCAGGUGGGGAAGAUAGCAGAGAGGACCUUCCAGGCAGCCUGACCAGCCAAAGCAAACGGCACAUGGGAUGUCUUGGAUGCAGUAUGGCAAGGGUGACCAGAGAAAGGAGUGUGAGGACAGCUGGGAGGGGCAGCUUGUGAAGGUUCUGGAGAGCGGAGUGCGGCUUUCAUCCCACAGACCCUGGGAGCAAGGGGCGGGGGGACCUUGCACUUGAGCACAAUUUCUCUGCCUCCUUACAAAGGGGCCACCUGUGAGGGGGUAGCUGCCGGGCUGAGGAAUCUCCUCCCCGAGUGUUCUCACCAGGCUGGAGGACCAAGCUCUUGCAGCCAUGGGGACGUGCUGCUAUUUUAAACCACCUGCUAACGCCUGCCUGCCUCCCCCGCUUCUGCCUUGACAUGCGGCUCCUGUGACAGAGAGCCCAGUGUUGCCCCAGGAGACAACGCUGGGCAAAUGGAUGCAGAUGGCACACCCAGGCAGGGGACAGCUCUAGGGGCCCCAAGAGCCCUCCCACCCCUAGCAUCUGGCUUCCUUGACCCGCCAGCCUUGGGAGGGCCGGGGAACCCCACCUGCCUGCCCGGUUCAGGCAAGACAGGCAGACUGGGUCUCUCUUGGCCUCACAGUGUGACUACCAAAGUAAGGCUCUUAUCAGAGCCUCAGUUCCUUGUCUGUAAAAUGGGUAUAAUGACGAUACAAUCGGGGCGGUGGGGGAGCUCUUUAUGAGGCGUCUAGCACAGUGCCUGGGGUGGAGAUGGAGAAGACGCCCAAGAAGGGGAGAAUGCUUACGCUGGCCCUCACCACGCUCCCUCCCCCCUUCCUGCCUUAUUCUUCACCACCUGACAUUAUGUUGGGCAUCUGCUGGACCACGACAGCAAAGAUUUUGGAUACCUAGCCUCUCUGAAUAGUGCCCGAUGCAUGGUAGGUGCUCCGUAGGUAUUGAACAAGAGAAUGGUCUUUUUGAAAUGGCUUCACUUCUCUGAAAAGCGUUUAUCUGAGCGGAUGAGCAUUCAUUCAGCCAUUCAUUCAUUCAUUCAUUCGUUCACCCAUGGGUCCCCGAGCUCUUACGAUGCACCACACACUGUGUGAGGCUCUAAGAACCCAAAGCCCUGCGAGCGGGCACGACCCUUGUUAGAGCGUGGAAUCAAGAUGGCACCCGUUUUCAUCUCAUGAAGGAUCAGAUUUCUGAUUCUACAAGUGGACCAGAGAUAGACAUUUGACCUCAAAAUGGGUGCACCUUUACCCUGUCCCCUUGUCAUUCGUAAAGCAAGACCCAUAAAGCAAAAGCCACCACCAGAUCCAAUUGGGGAAGAAGGGGAGGGUGAAGGGGGAUGGCGGUCACCAGUCUAAGCGGGGCAAGGGGAGCAUUUGGUGAUGGAAAGCCAGGUGUUGUUCCAGCACCCAUAGUUCCCAGAGAAAUCUGGCCCACCCAGCCUGGUGGGAGAAAGUUAGCAAUUCCACCAGCAGGUUCUUGAACACGUCAUCCAUUGGCAGGACUGAGGUUGACCUAGAGAGAGAGGGAGACUCAGGAAGCCCUCUACCUACAGGGUGGGGCUGGGUGCGAGUGGCUUUUCUCAAGCAGGUCCAGACCCUCAGAGACUGAUUGUUCCUGGCCCAGAUAUCACCCUAACCCUUCCCAGUUAUAUUUCCCCAGGCCAACUGCACUCUGACAUUUCAACCAUAGCGUCUACGUCCAAAAUUCAAACUUUUAUAUGACAAUCCAUUUUUAACUAGAGGGUCUGCAGUCAGCCUGGCCUCCAACCCUGGCCAUGGUCUUUAUCAGCUGUGUGACCUCAGGAAAAUAACCUAACCUCUCUGUGCCUGUUGUUUUUAUCUGUGAAACAGGGUAACAAUAGUACCUACUUUCUUGUGUUCACAGGAGGAGAAAAUGAGUUGAUAUAUAUAAAAGCACUUCAAACAGUACUUGGUACUGUAGACAUUGGGUAAAAAAUUGCCGUUUAGAUUAUCACUAUCAUUUGAUUUGCAGACCCUGGUAUUAUUUAAUGAGAAGCCCAAUCUAGAGGUUAACAGGUAUAAGUCUUUUUGUAAAUGUUGUAUUUGCUUCGGGCAGUGGGAUGAACGGUUCUGAUUUCCAAAAGGGAUUGUUCUGGAGAUUCCGUCUAUGGCAGUAUUAGACCUCUACACCCCAGCCAUGGGCUCAGGGUGGUGGACACUUACUCCAUCACCCCUCAACACCAGACUUGCCUGUGUGGUUUGCUUUGGCCAAUGGGCUAUUAGCAGACGUGAUACAGGCAGUGGCUAGAGAUGUGACAGCACCCUUGCCAUCAAGGAGCCUCCUCCUCCAGGCUGGGCCCCGGAAUGAGACACAUGGAGCAUAUCUGAGCCAGACCUGCAGUCUGCAGCCAAGCUCCACUGAGCACAGCCGAGAUCAGUGCAAGGCUGACCCACCUGCAGACCCCUGAGCAAGAAAAAAUAAAUAUAUGUUAUUGACAGCUACUGAAAUGUGGAGGUCAUUUGUUACGCAGCAUUAUCAUGGUAGAAGCUAACCAAUAUAUCUGCUAAUGCAUUACCAUCAAGGGGUUCUUGUUUUUGAAAGAGACAAUGCAUGAAAGAUGUUUAGUUCAUAUACAACUAACUUUCUCCUCCUCCUCCUUCUCCUCCCUCCCCACAGCACAGCCAAAACUCUGUCUUCUCCUAACCUGAGGUCAAGUGCCCUCCAAGGGCCCAGCACAUACCCCCACCUGCUUCCCAACCUGCCUCUCCUUGAUGUUCUGAAGAAAUGAGAAAGAAGUGUUAAAUUUGUUCUUGGCUACUUUUCCUUGCAACUCCCAGAGGCCCUGCUUACAAACUGAAUCAGUUAUCAGCUAGUUAGGCUGGCGGUCCCCGGAGGUGCCGCUUGAAUACAGAUAGGGACCCAUGCAUUAUUCAGUGCGAAGACGGGGAGAAAUGAGCAAUGCGUCCAAAGCCAGAACAGCAGUGGCAGUAAGGGAAUAAUUAGCGAGCUGUCACUUGUCCCUGUCACUGUUUCCUCCCUUAACACAUGAGGGAAAAUAAAAAAAUAAAAAAAUAAUUUUUUUAAAGGAAGAAGAAAAAAGGCAGGGAAGAUCAUCUUGCUUCUCGAGGCAGCUGGUAGGUUAAAAUGUGACACAUAAAAAGGCUUGAAGCAAGGGCUCUGGUUCAGCUCACAAAAGCCAUGGCCUGGGGACCCCCCCAAUAUUUUAUCGAACUCCCCUUUCUGCUUGAUGAUUCAUGGGCACUGCCCCAGCCUGCCAUUCAGAUUUUCUGCACGUUUCCAUAGCACUGGGAAUUAAUUUCUCCCCUAUAAGGAGGAGGUGGGGAUGCUAGGAGGGGGUGGGAGGAAGAGCCGUGAGGGGCAGAGCCACCCCGGCCUGCAAAGGUUUGAGGUGACCUUCCAGGAGGAAACUGGGAUAAGGGUUGACAAGAGCUGUACUUGGCUCAUUUGGGGACUGUGCGAUUUGAUUAUUCAUGAGUUUACGCACACAGAAAGAAAUCAUUUUGUUGCGUGAGUCCUCGUCAUUUCUUGUGGAAGCUAUUUUUAUUUAUCUAUUAAUGUCUUGUUAGAAUUUUUUUUCUGUGGCACGUACUGGUUUGCUGCUUGGGGGUGUUGAGCCAGACAUGUGAGGGUCUGAGAUGUGCUGAUGGUGAGGCCAGUUUUCCCAAAGACUUCCUCUCACCUUUCCUCUGGAAAAAAAAAAUUACAGAAAGGGUAGUGUUGGGGGGAAUAGGGUUGAGAAUAUUUGCUUGCUUGAUUCAUGCCUCUGCUUUCCAUUAAAAACGAGCUGGUCACCUUCGGGUAGGAUGGUUGCUUUAUAAAGUUCUGCUAUGAAACUCAACAAGAUGGAAUGUGGAAGAUGCUUUGUAUAAGAUGAGGCAGAAAGACUCCCAACUGGUAAACAAGUCACCCUUCUUCAUAAAAAUCUGUCAGCUCCCUCACCGCAUAACGAGGGCCACUCAGGGUUGGAAGAUUUUGUCGUCAGAGUCCAGAGAAGAGGACUCGUUUACGAAGCCACUAGCCCAGAUUUAGCGAGUCCAUGGCAUGCAGACCACUGCUUCUCUACCCAGUGCCGGGGGCAGACAUCGCUAAUCGAUCCCAGAACCCUCGACCCACUGCAGACAGCAAAGGAUGCCCAAACACAGAGCUCUGUGCCAUAUGAGCUCCCUCAGCCCCCCUCACCCUUUCGGACUCUAGACCACUUUGCAUGUCUUUCCUUUGGCCUGGAAUGUUCCUUCCCCCUGGCUGCCACCCACCUGGGCUGCAUGCAUCCCCCCCGCCCCCCCCGCCGGAGCCUUCAGAAGCUAACCGUCUCAAGUCUUUGCAGGGGAAAUUAUUCCCUCCCCACUCACGCAUCCUUCUCUGUGAUAUCUUCACAUUUGCUGUGCAUGUUUAGAAAUGAAUGGCCAGCUUAAUUUGCCUUUUCUCUUCUUGAUUAGAUUGGAGGUCCAGGGGAGAGGCUGGGAGAUUUCGUCACCUCUCUGUUUCCAGCAGUCGGAACAGAGGUUGACACCUGGAAGGGAUCCAGUGAUGGUUUAUGGAAGGGAGGAAGGAACGAUUUGCUGUGUCUCUGGACAAACGAGGCUCCUCUCUGGGCCUGGUGUUCUGGCAUUCAGCCCAAGCUUUGACAGGGGUGACCUGGCUGUGUGCAGGCAGUUCUGGAGCUCUGGGGGCACAGGUGGGGGACACCACCCAGGCAGCCUCCUCUGUGUCUCUGUCACCAGCCUCGCAAAGCUGAUGCUGAGGGGAAAAGCAGGGAGAAUCUGACACGGGAGAGUCAAGGCCCUGUGGUCAGUGGGAGAAGGCAGGCAGGUGUGGAAUACAAUAGCUCAUGCUGAUGAUCCCAGAUAAAAACCCUUGGGUCAUGUGUAGGCUGAAAUACAGUCCCUAAAGAUACCAGGGAGCUACAAAUGUUACCUUGUAAGUAAAAAGGCCUUUGUAGAUAGGAUUAAAUUAGGGACAUUGAAAUGGGGAGGUGAUCCUGGAAUAUCUGGGUGGAUCCUAAGUGCCAUCACAUCUGUUGUAGGAGGGAGGCAGAGGGAGACUGCACACACAGAGGAGAAUGUGAUGUGACCACAAAGGCAGAAAUUGGAGUGAUGCAGCCACGAGCCAAGGGACAUCAGUAGCCACCAGAAGCUGGAAGAAGCCAGACCCUCCCGUAGAGCCUCUGGACACACCGUGGAC